GUAACCUGCCCUAGACAGGGGGAUAACUGCUGGAAACGGCAGCUAAGACCGCAUAGGUAUGGACACUGCAUGGUGACCAUAUUAAAAGUGCCAAGGCACUGGUAGAGGAUGGACUUAUGGCGCAUUAGCUGGUUGGUGAGGUAACGGCUCACCAAGGCGACGAUGCGUAGCCGACCUGAGAGGGUGACCGGCCACACUGGGACUGAGACACGGCCCAGACUCCUACGGGAGGCAGCAUG
RNAcentral lists this ribosomal RNA (239 nucleotides) under uncultured bacterium. RNAcentral describes it as "partial 16S ribosomal RNA". It matches the Rfam family "Bacterial small subunit ribosomal RNA", at positions 121 to 353 of the family's 1533-position model. The record is from RNAcentral.